CUUGAAGGGAAAUGAAUUUGUAGGCUGUCCCUACAAAUGGGUGGGUGUGGAAAGGAUAGAAAUGGAUUUUGAACAGACUGCAGAUGUUUUCUAGACUGAUGGCGAGCUGCAAAGCUAUGAGCCAAGUCUGUCAAUAGGAAAAGAUGAAGGAGGCCUUUGUAGGAAGAACACUGCCCUUGAGAUACAUGUAAAAACAGCAAGAGUUGCGGUGUGCGAGAGGACAGAAAUAACAGCGGGGGCUCAAAAAAAGCAGCGGAUGUAAAAAGGGUGGAGGCAUGGCCCUGCUGAUGACAGCAAUGCUUGGUGUGGCCAAGGCUCAUGCGGCCACAGAAAGCCCACAGGACAGCUCCCAGAUGCACUGCAAGCAUCUGUCCCACCAUCCCCAGCUCACAGCAAAGCAGACACCUGAAGCAGAAGCUGCUCCCCAAAAGCAGCGCCCCAGAAGAUGCUGGGGCAGGUGCCAUGGGCAAGGCUGUCUCCUUCUGGCCCUGCCGUCCUGCUCCUGGCCCUCUGUGAGUUGGGACAUUGUUGGGUGUGGGGGCUGAGGGCUGGAGGGUUGCUGCUGGGGGCAGGACAGGCACAUGAUGGGCACAGGGGAGGAUGGGGACAGCGUGUGUGGGGCAGGUGUGCAGCACCGUGGGGCAGAGUGUGUUUUGGGAAGGCAGGAUGGGGAUGGCUUCCUCCAAUUAUAAAACACAUCUGAGCAAGGGGCACACUUCUCCAGCACCAUAAAUUGUCUGGAGUGUUGCUCUGAGGCUCUAGGACUGCUGAGGUCUUUACGGAGCUAUGGGACUUACCUGGAACAAGGAAUCCACGCAAAAUAGGAUUGGAAGUGGCAUUGUUUGAGGGGGUAUUGAAGAGGUACAGCAUGAGAACAUGCAGGUGUGAUGGUGGCUGCUUAGCAGUGAGGAUGUGGGCAGGGGCAUCAGGAUGAGCCAGGACACUGCUCCUCUCAGCAAAUCCCUCUCUGCCCCUUGGUACAGGUGGCAGCAUGACCUCCCAGGACAUCUGCAGCUUCCCAGGUACUCGUGAGUCCUUCCCUCCCAGAGCCAGGGCACUUGGAAGCCCAACCACUGUGAGCUCUGCCCUAUGGCAGCCCUUCACUGCUGUGUCUCCUGCAGGGGAUCUCCGAGCUCCUGCUCUCCAAAUGAACUCAACUUCUGCUCAGCCAGGUACCACAGUUGUGCUCCAGUGUAUUCUCCAUGUGGUGUCAAGUGUAAGACAAGUCAUUUUCUGCAAGGAUGGGAUGGAGGUGUACAGUCUGAAAGCCCAGCAAGGGCAGCUGAGAUACUCCGUGGUCCUGAACAUCACGUCAAGGAGCGCAGGAAGAUAUACAUGUGGGUACCAGCAGAGGAAUGAGAUGAAACAGAGGAGGAGCUCUGCCCUCAGUGCUGGCCGCAUCCUGAAUGUCCCUGGUGCAGCUGCUGGCGUGAGCACCCAGGGCAUCUGCAGCUCCCCAGGUGAUGUUGAGCUUGGGGAUGGGUGACUGAAGAGAGGUGUGUGGGGUGGUGAUGGCAAGGGAGAGGGAAUUUGUUCUCUGGGCAAGAGCUCCUGGGAAGGAAUCACUUCCCUGCAUGGAACACAAAGCAUUUUGUGUCCAGUUCUGGGAUUCCCUGUUCAGGAGGGGCAUAGAACUACUGGAGAGAGUCCAGAGGAGGGCUGCAAAGAUGAUCAGAGGUCUGGAGCCAAGAGAACUGAGCCUGUUUAGCCUGGAAAAGAGGAGACUGAGGGGAGACCUCAUCCAUGUCCAUAAAUAUCUGAGUGGAGGGUGUUGAGAGGAUGGAGCUGGUCUCUUUUCGGUUGUGUCCAGGGAAAGGGCGAGAGGCAAUGGGCUCAAUCUGAAGCACA
This 1848-nucleotide long non-coding RNA is filed under the name Anas platyrhynchos platyrhynchos (common mallard). RNAcentral describes it as "lncRNA (ENSAPLG00000018971.1)". Lineage: Eukaryota; Metazoa; Chordata; Aves; Anseriformes; Anatidae. The record is from RNAcentral.